AGUAACGCGUGGGUAACCUGCCUCAUACAGGGGAUAACGAUUGGAAACGAUUGCUAAUACCGCAUAAGCGCACAGUACCACAUGGUGCAGUGUGAAAAACUCCGGUGGUAUGAGAUGGACCCGCGUCUGAUUAGCUAGUUGGUGAGGUAACGGCCCACCAAGGCAACGAUCAGUAGCCGACCUGAGAGGGUGACCGGCCACAUUGGGACUGAGACACGGCCCAG
RNAcentral lists this ribosomal RNA (224 nucleotides) under uncultured bacterium. RNAcentral's name for it is "partial 16S ribosomal RNA". It matches the Rfam family "Bacterial small subunit ribosomal RNA", at positions 109 to 334 of the family's 1533-position model. The record is from RNAcentral.